This 330-nucleotide ribosomal RNA is filed under the name uncultured bacterium. Its description in RNAcentral is "bacterial SSU rRNA". It matches the Rfam family "Bacterial small subunit ribosomal RNA", at positions 568 to 898 of the family's 1533-position model. The record is from RNAcentral.
UCUGUAGGCGGUGCGGCAAGUCGGGAGUGAAAUCUCGGGGCUUAACUCCGAGUCUGCUUCCGAAACUGCCGUGCUCGAGUGUGGGAGAGGUGAGUGGAAUUGCAGGUGUAGCGGUGAAAUGCGUAGAUAUCUGCAGGAACACCAGAGGCGAAGGCGGCUCACUGGACCACAACUGACGCUGAGAGACGAAAGCUAGGGGAGCAAACAGGAUUAGAUACCCUGGUAGUCCUAGCCCUAAACCAUCAGGACUUGGCGUGGGUCCCGUUCGGGGCCCGUGUCGGAGCUAACGUGUGAAGUCCUGCGCCUGGGGAGUACGGUCGCAAGGCUGAA